GAGGGUAUAGCUCAGUGGUAGAACACGUGCUCAGCAUGCAGGAGGUCCUGGGUUCAAUCCCCAGUACCUCCA
This 72-nucleotide transfer RNA is filed under the name Camelus bactrianus (Bactrian camel). It matches the Rfam family "tRNA". From Rfam's summary of the family: Transfer RNA (tRNA) molecules are approximately 80 nucleotides in length. Their secondary structure includes four short double-helical elements and three loops (D, anti-codon, and T loops). Further hydrogen bonds mediate the characteristic L-shaped molecular structure. tRNAs have two regions of fundamental functional importance: the anti-codon, which is responsible for specific mRNA codon recognition, and the 3' end, to which the tRNAs corresponding amino acid is attached (by aminoacyl-tRNA synthetases). tRNAs cope with the degeneracy of the genetic code in two manners: having more than one tRNA (with a specific anti-codon) for a particular amino acid; and 'wobble' base-pairing, i.e. permitting non-standard base-pairing at the 3rd anti-codon position. RNAcentral also lists the same sequence under 3 other names. The record is from Rfam by way of RNAcentral. Lineage: Eukaryota; Metazoa; Chordata; Mammalia; Artiodactyla; Camelidae.